RNAcentral lists this ribosomal RNA (422 nucleotides) under uncultured bacterium. Its description in RNAcentral is "bacterial SSU rRNA". It matches the Rfam family "Bacterial small subunit ribosomal RNA", at positions 355 to 774 of the family's 1533-position model. The record is from RNAcentral.
UAAGGAAUAUUGGACAAUGGAGGCAACUCUGAUCCAGCCAUGCCGCGUGAGGGAAUAAGGCCCUAUGGGUUGUAAACUUCUUUUAGACGGGACAAAACCCCUUUACGUGUAAAGGGUUGAUGGUACUGUCAGAAUAAGCAUCGGCUAACUUCGUGCCAGCAGCCGCGGUAAUACGAAGGAUGCGAGCGUUAUCCGGAAUUAUUGGGUUUAAAGGGUGCGUAGGCGGACUAAUAAGUCAGUGGUGAAAGCCUGCAGCUUAACUGCAGAAUUGCCAUUGAUACUGUUAGUCUUGAGUACAGUUGAGGUAGGCGGAAUGUGUCAUGUAGCGGUGAAAUGCUUAGAUAUGACACAGAACACCGAUUGCGAAGGCAGCUUGCUAGGCUGUAACUGACGCUGAGGCACGAAAGCGUGGGGAGCAAACA